UUUUAAACGCAUCAACUAAACGACUACAAUAUCGGUCAAUUGGCCUCAUAUAUCAACUGCAAACCGAUCAUGUGAUUCAUGCACACUUCUUAAUGGGCAUCAAUUUUUCAAUUUCACUAAUUGAACUCGAUUGCGUAAGUGCAGGAUUGUGGAAAAGUUUUCCAGUCUAACUUAACGUUGUUUUCUCGUAAAAUAUAUUUUUAAAACCACCUUGUACCAAAAUACAAAGUAGAUUGGCUAGAAUUGACUACGCCAUUACAUUUUCAAGCGCAAUUGGGACUUUUCCAACAAUUUUUUGAGACGGCACAUAUAAAGGUGCAAUAGACAGUGGCGUCACAACCAGGCCCAAAUAUCCACCGUGUAUUUUUAUUCAUCGUCAUCAAAGUGAAUUGGCUCCAAUGGACCGAUACGACUUAAAUUUACAUUUGGAAAAAAACAUUUUGCUAUUAAUUAUAUCAAAGAAUCGGUCUUUUUGUAUUGAAGUGUGCAAUUUUUGGUCUUUUUCAAGCCUUCAAAGAUAAACCUGCAGUUAUCCCGCAGCACAUUCCGCCUCCCACCUAGUGAAAGUGCAGUUUGAACUGGACACAACUGGACGUUUCCAAUUCCCUACCUACAAACAUGUUUAUAAGCUGGCGAAUUAAAUACACAUUAAACUAAGAAAA
Molecule: long non-coding RNA, 662 nt
Organism: Dendroctonus ponderosae (mountain pine beetle)
Lineage: Eukaryota; Metazoa; Arthropoda; Insecta; Coleoptera; Curculionidae
Exons: 2
Source: RefSeq, a predicted model, not a curated record